UACAGAGGGGGCAAGCGUUAUUCGGAAUUAUUGGGCGUAAAGAGCUCGUAGGCGGCUGCUCAAGUCGAAUGUGAAAACUCGAGGCUCAACCUCGAGCCUGCAUUCGAUACUGGGCGGCUAGAGUCUGGUAGGGGGAUCUGGAAUUCCUGGUGUAGCGGUGGAAUGCGUAGAUAUCUGGAGGAAUACCGGUGGCGAAGGCGGCAUCCUGGACCGAGAUUGACGCUGAUGAGCGAAAGCUAGGGGAGCAAACGGG
RNAcentral lists this ribosomal RNA (253 nucleotides) under uncultured bacterium. Its description in RNAcentral is "partial 16S ribosomal RNA". It matches the Rfam family "Bacterial small subunit ribosomal RNA", at positions 524 to 776 of the family's 1533-position model. The record is from RNAcentral.